Molecule: ribosomal RNA, 464 nt
Filed under: uncultured bacterium
Lineage: Bacteria
Description: partial 16S ribosomal RNA
Rfam family: Bacterial small subunit ribosomal RNA
Source: RNAcentral
UGAACGCUGGCGGCGUGCUUCACACAUGCACGUCGACCGGAAAGGCCCAAGCUUGCUUGGGUACUCGAGUGGCGAACGGGUGAGUAACACGUGGGUGAUCUGCCCUGCACUUCGGGAUAAGCCUGGGAAACUGGGUCUAAUACCGGAUAGGACCACAUUUUGGAUGGUGUGGUGGAAAGUUUUUCGGUGUGGGAUGAGCUCGCGGCCUAUCAGCUUGUUGGUGGGGUAAUGGCCUACCAAGGCGUCGACGGGUAGCCGGCCUGAGAGGGUGUACGGCCACAUUGGGACUGAGAUACGGCCCAGACUCCUACGGGAGGCAGCAGUGGGGAAUAUUGCACAAUGGGCGCAAGCCUGAUGCAGCGACGCCGCGUGGGGGAUGACGGCCUUCGGGUUGUAAACUCCUUUCGCUAGGGACGAAGCGUUAUGUGACGGUACCUGGAGAAGAAGCACCGGCUAACUACGUG